This 90-nucleotide transfer RNA is filed under the name Armillaria borealis. RNAcentral's name for it is "tRNA-Asp". It matches the Rfam family "tRNA". Rfam says of the family: Transfer RNA (tRNA) molecules are approximately 80 nucleotides in length. The record is from RNAcentral. Lineage: Eukaryota; Fungi; Basidiomycota; Agaricomycetes; Agaricales; Physalacriaceae.
UCUCUGAUAGUAUAUCGGUUAGUACACGCGCCUGUCAUUUAAUGUUAGCCUUGAUCGCGCGAAAGCUGGGUUCGACUCCCAGUCAGAGAG